GACCUCAAAUCAGGUAGGAUUACCCGCUGAACUUAAGCAUAUCAAUAAGCGGAGGAAAAGAAACUAACAAGGAUUCCCCUAGUAACUGCGAGUGAAGCGGGAAAAGCUCAAAUUUAAAAUCUGGCGGUCUCUGGCCGUCCGAGUUGUAAUCUAGAGAAGUGUUAUCCGCGCUGGACCGUGUACAAGUCUCCUGGAAUGGAGCGUCAUAGAGGGUGAGAAUCCCGUCUUUGACACGGACUGCCAGGGCUUUGUGAUGCGCUCUCAAAGAGUCGAGUUGUUUGGGAAUGCAGCUCAAAAUGGGUGGUAAAUUCCAUCUAAAGCUAAAUAUUGGCGAGAGACCGAUAGCGAACAAGUACCGUGAGGGAAAGAUGAAAAGAACUUUGGAAAGAGAGUUAAACAGUACGUGAAAUUGCUGAAAGGGAAACGCUUGAAGUCAGUCGCGUUGGCCGGGGAUCAACCUUGCUUUUGCUGGGCGUACUUUCCGGUUGACGGGUCAGCAUCAAUUUUGACCGUUGGAUAAAGUCCAGGGGAAUGUGGCAUCUUCGGAUGUGUUAUAGCCCUUGGUCGCAUACAACGGUUGGGAUUGAGGAACUCAGCACGCCGCAAGGCCGGGUACUUGUACCACGUUCGUGCUUAGGAUGCUGGCAUAAUGGCUUUAAUCGACCCGUCUUGAAACACGGACCAAGGAGUCUAACAUGCCUGCGAGUGUUUGGGUGGAAAACUCGGACGCGUAAUGAAAGUGAAAGUUGAGAUCCCUGUCGUGGGGAGCAUCGACGCCCGGACCAGACCUUUUGUGACGGAUCCGCGGUAGAGCAUGUAUGUUGGGACCCGAAAGAUGGUGAACUAUGCCUGAAUAGGGUGAAGCCAGAGGAAACUCUGGUGGAGGCUCGUAGCGAUUCUGACGUGCAAAUCGAUCGUCAAAUUUGGGUAUAGGGGCGAAAGACUAAUCGAACCAUCUAGUAGCUGGUUCCU
This 972-nucleotide ribosomal RNA is filed under the name Agaricales sp. SV.S2. Its description in RNAcentral is "LSU rRNA". It matches the Rfam family "Eukaryotic large subunit ribosomal RNA", at positions 1 to 959 of the family's 3401-position model. The record is from RNAcentral. Lineage: Eukaryota; Fungi; Basidiomycota; Agaricomycetes; Agaricales.